CUCCCCACUCUUUGUAACUGAAGCGAUUGAUAAUGGGAGUGGUUUGAACUUUGAAUACAUGAAAAUUUCGUCGACUGGCGACUUAGGGUUGGUGUGUAAUUUGAGCUAUUCUUAAUGAAGCGGCUGGCGACUUAGGGUUGGCAACUGACGACGACGAUUAAGAAAAAGGUUUGAAAGCAGUGAGCGACAAACUGCAAUUGGCUGCGAUGACGAGUGAGAAAAAAAUACAUACGACGACGACUGAGCCGAAAGUCGUGGGUUAAUUCCAUUGGUGCCAAGGUCUUAGAAUUAAAUGUCACGAAAGUGCAUGACAAAGAAAUUGGGAUCGCUCAACGCUGUCUUUCGAAUGGAAUUUCUAUUAGUUAUAAGAUUUCAAAAAAUAAAGCUCAAGGAGGUGUUAUGCGGUUAUUGUUGGCGGUGGGUGAGUAGCUGAAAGUUCUGAGUCGAGAGGAGCU
Pistacia vera is the source of this 455-nucleotide long non-coding RNA. RefSeq lists it as uncharacterized. The transcript is spliced from 3 exons. Lineage: Eukaryota; Viridiplantae; Streptophyta; Magnoliopsida; Sapindales; Anacardiaceae. The record is from RefSeq and is a predicted model, not a curated record.